UACGUAGGGCGCGAGCGUUGUCCGGAAUUAUUGGGCGUAAAGAGCUCGUAGGUGGCUUGUUGCGUCUGCCGUGAAAGCCCGUGGCUUAACUACGGGUCUGCGGUGGAUACGGGCAGGCUAGAGGCUGGUAGGGGCAAGCGGAAUUCCUGGUGUAGCGGUGAAAUGCGCAGAUAUCGGGAGGAACACCAGUGGCGAAGGCGACUUCCUGGCCUGUUCUUGACGCUGAGGCGCGAAAGCGUGGGGAGCGAACAGG
Molecule: ribosomal RNA, 253 nt
Filed under: uncultured bacterium
Lineage: Bacteria
Description: partial 16S ribosomal RNA
Rfam family: Bacterial small subunit ribosomal RNA
Source: RNAcentral